UGCUCAGUCCACUUAAUGACAAUUCCCAUUA
RNAcentral lists this non-coding RNA (31 nucleotides) under Mus musculus (house mouse). The record is from RNAcentral. Lineage: Eukaryota; Metazoa; Chordata; Mammalia; Rodentia; Muridae.